CCCACAUACAGUCACUCAGCCACCACCAACAUUCACAAUCGCACUCAAUGCCACCCUCAAUCACACUCCGUAAACUCCACGCACAAACUCAGAAAGCCCUCUUACACAUCACACUCAGCCAACUCUACACACAUACAUAUCACACUCGGCUACCACACACAUCCCACUCCGGUGUAUGUCAUAGGGGGUGCUUCUUUCCCCUUAGGCAUAGGGAUUCUAAGUUAUGCAUUACUGCCCCCAAAAAUGGCACUGAACGCUACAAUCAACUCUCUGACAGAGCUUUAACAAUCUGCUUCCAAUCUUGAAACCUCAGGAUCCAACCCAGCAAGGGUUCAGCUAU
Pelobates cultripes (western spadefoot toad) is the source of this 340-nucleotide non-coding RNA. The record is from the annotation of a GenBank genome assembly. NCBI's taxonomy places the organism in Eukaryota, Metazoa, Chordata, Amphibia, Anura, Pelobatidae.